Molecule: non-coding RNA, 74 nt
Organism: Pteropus alecto (black flying fox)
Lineage: Eukaryota; Metazoa; Chordata; Mammalia; Chiroptera; Pteropodidae
Source: Rfam
GGCUCCAUAGUGGAGUGGUUAGCACGUCUGCUUUACAUUCAGAAUGUCCUGGGUUCACACCCCAGGUGGAGACA